CUACGGGUCGCACCAGUGAGGAAUAUUGAUCAAUGGGCGCGAGCCUGAACCAGCCAUCCCGCGUGCAGGAUGACGGCCCUAUGGGUUGUAAACUGCUUUUCUAUGCCAAGAAACCCUGUUACGAGUAACAGGUUGCCGGUAGCAUAGGAAUAAGCAUCGGCUAACUCCGUGCCAGCAGCCGCGGUAAUACGGAGGAUGCAAGCGUUAUCGGGAUUCGUUGGGUUUAAAGGGUGCGCAGGUGGGCUUGUAAGUCAGUGGUGAAAUGCUGCCGCUUAACGGUAGAACUGCCAUUGAUACUGCGAGUCUUGAGUAUGGUUGAGGUAGGCGGAAUGUGUUGUGUAGCGGUGAAAUGCAUAGAUAUGACACAGAACGCCAAUUGCGAAGGCAGCUUACUAAGCCAUUACUGACGCUGAGGCACGAAAGCGUGGGGAGCGAACAGGAUUAGAUACCCGGGUAGUC
This 459-nucleotide ribosomal RNA is filed under the name uncultured bacterium. RNAcentral's name for it is "partial 16S ribosomal RNA". It matches the Rfam family "Bacterial small subunit ribosomal RNA", at positions 339 to 795 of the family's 1533-position model. The record is from RNAcentral.